Phacochoerus africanus (Common warthog) is the source of this 3288-nucleotide long non-coding RNA. RefSeq lists it as uncharacterized. The record is from RefSeq and is a predicted model, not a curated record. Lineage: Eukaryota; Metazoa; Chordata; Mammalia; Artiodactyla; Suidae. The transcript has 2 exons.
AGCAACAACAACAACAAAAAAGACAAAAAAAAAGAUGUAAAUCCAAGCACUGCACAAUUAACUACUGCUUUCUACACUGUACUAGAAAUUACCUCUCUGACACACUUCUUGGAUUCAGAGAAACAAAGGCUCAAGUUUUUAUUUAGUAAAAAAAAAUUUAAUUUCUCAGUUUAGCAAGUGUACAAGAUAAAGAUUAUGCCAAGGCCUAAAACAGCGUGUACAGAACGACGUCUGUAUUGAGUGCCUAUGUGUAUCUCUAGGUGUGUGUUUAACCAAAGGUUUUAUUUUUUAAAAAAGAUAGCUUGCUUCUACCUGUAAACUAGCUCUUUGACAUUAUAUAAUCAAAGGAAAUACAUUGAAAUAUAUCUUUUUAAUUUAUACAAUUUUAAGAUAGUGGACUUUGUAUGUUUUGCUAAACUAAAAUAAACCAAUCUGUAAAGUUGUUUUUAAGUUAGUAAACUCAGAAUGAUAAUUCUCUUCAGCUUUUCAAAAAUUCUCUUUAUUUGCUUCUUUUAAUUCCUUAUGCAUCUUGAUUAAGUCAGGAAGAAAGGGAAGGUCAGAAUUUGAUAAUCUCUGACUUCCAACAAACUCUUAAGAUGUUACAUAUUCCAAAUCAAAUGUGUACCAAGACACCAGAAACUCACAGUAACUUGAUUGUUGUUCUAUCAAAUCCAAGAAUUCCUUCAUGACUGGACAGCUCAAGUGUUACCUACUCCAGGAAGCCUUCCUUGUUCUCAAUCUGCUGCAUGUACUUUUUGUUCUCUUUAUUUUUAUGCAGUGCACUGUAUGCACUUCCUUCAUAGCAUAAAACAUAUUAUUUCAUAAUUAUCCAUUUGUAUGUCUGUGCCUCCCUAAACCCAGAACUCCUCUGGGAACAGACAGGGUCUGUUUAGCAAGUAACCCCACUGCCUAAAGCAGCUGUUAACUUGCAAGAGUAGAUGUCACUGUAUGUUUGGAGAGUGAAUAAACGAAUGAGUGGCAUUUAUGAUACUGGCCGUCCAGCUUAACACAGGACAAGGUGUGCUGUCUCACUGCCUGAGGCCCCAGGAUCCCAGCUUUCCCACAAGUAACAAGUUAGUCCAAAAGGCUCAAGGUGAAUUUGGAUUUCUUGAAAGAUCCUGCAGCGUGGGAAUCACCUCCGACCUGGAGGAGUGCCUUUUAGGGAUCCCAUUUCUAAUUAUUCUAAAAUUGGUUUGUUGCUAAGUGUUGAGACUGGUUUCAUGCUAAUUUCUUUGUUCCUACCUGAUUUCACCAGAGUCAAUAUUCUUAAACAAAGCAGAAAGGUAGGUAGAAACACACAGGGAGAUGGGGACAGUGCUGGGUGUAUGAGGAUUGCAAUGGCCUUCCCUACCAACAAAGUGAAAGCAAGGAAUGUAAGGCAUAUAUUUUAAGGAGCAGAAACACAAAUUUUCAAAGGGCUUUUCUAAUCACAGAGGAGAGUCUUUUUGUUAUUAGUGGGGUAUUUUCCUUAUAGUCCAUUGUCCAUGCUAGUUCAGAGUAAUGAAAGUUCUCUAGCAUUUGCGCUACCUCAUGGACAUCUAAGCUCAACCAUCCUUCUAACAAUAGGGGUUUUCUUUAAGGGCACCAAGAUAAUGUUAAGUUUCACUGUGCAGAAGGAAACCCUCUCACAAAUCUCUUCAUGUUGGAGUCACAGCUUCUUCCCUGCCUGAGGCUCUGUGUUCCGUUAGCUUUACCUUCCUCAAGGGAGGGCCAUGAUUUCAGAACUUCCCUUCAGCACUGAAAACGAGUCCUGUGAGAUUUCACUUUACACCAUCUGGAGGAUCAAGUCUAACCAGAUAUUUCUUCUGUCUUCAGCUUCUAAGCUGAAGCCAGUACUAGUGGGACUCAAGUCUGGCAAACAAGGAGCCGACCACAUGAUGGCAUCAGUGGGGAAGCAAAGGCCGCAGUGAGGGACAGGGCUUCUGAGCACUGGUUCCGAGGAGGAGAGGCAGGAGGUGACUGAGACAGGAACUGAAGAGCAACCACAGCAUGGACAAGUCGUUUUCAAGAUCAUACAGGUGCUUAAUAGUUACACAGGGCCACUCAGACCUAGAAUGAGGACUACAAAUUAGCAAACAAAGAGACCCAAGUCCUUUUAAUGACACUGGGAGGUAGUACAGCCCGCAGGGUGCACAGCAGCCCAGGAAGCUGGGCCUUAGAGGUGGGUGAGAUGGCCCUUUCACUCCUGCCUGGGGAGCCAGUCUCCUGGCUGAAACCAACUGCCCCAGCCACACAGCACAUGGAGGGCUAAUCUGAGCACUGGUGUGGCUCUACUGUAGUUUAAACUCUACAACAUGGUGGUCUGACGCUCUGGUCUUCAUUUCUGGAACUGCUCUGUUUUAGAACAAUACACAGAAUACCCUCUAGGGAAAACAACUGGUUAUCACCGAGUGUUACUUCCCCAAAAGGGCCUUUCUUAACCACCAACCCAGAGAGGACUCUCAAAUCACUCCCCCUUUCAUUUUUAUUAUAGCACUUAUGGUUCCCUGUCUGUUUUUAAUUGACUGCUUUUCCAGCUAUGUAAAAGCAAUAAAGAGCAAGAACCUCCGAGCCUCAUUUGAUGCUGAAUUUCCAGGUCUCACGGAGCUAGCUGGCAUUUAUAAAGUGCUCAAUAAAUGCUGAGUAAUGACUAAACAACUACUACACAUAUAGAAGUUUCUGAAUUUUUAAAACAAAGAAAGGGGUGGGGAAACAGUAGGGAGAGUUUCACUCCUAAUUUGCUGAAAUCUUUAUGAAUGCAAAUCUGAGCUCCUCUCCGCUUAGUAAUUCUUAUCAAAUGACUGCCAGUGUGGCUCUCUAAAAUAGGAUAGUGUGGAGGACAGAACUUCAAAGGCUGCAUGACUGAUCAAGCAACGAGACGGGAGAGGAACACUGGAGACUCUGAUUAAGUGCAGCCCAGCCUACUGGAGUCUCACUGGCCGCUGCAAAUCCCUCUGGAGGCAACACAGAGGAUGAACUGGCAGAAAGGAAGCCUGGAGGCAGGAAAAUUAUCCAAAGGCAGGAAAAUAAUCCAGAUGGAAAGUCCGAGCACCUGCGCUGGGGCUGUGAGACUGCUGCAUGAGAGCAAAGACUCGAGACAGACCCAAACUACAGAGCUGAUGGGACUGGGAUGCAAAUUCCUUGAGAGUAGAGAGCUUCAAAGGGAGCGCCUCGGAGAAGAACUGUCACUGUGUGGACACACUGAAUUCAAGGCCAGCAAAGACCGAGGCAAUUUACAAAGCUAGGUUCCCACCAAGGCUGGUGGUCAUGUCAAAAAUGAAAUGAAGUAAAAUAAAUAUUACCUAUAAA